Molecule: ribosomal RNA, 153 nt
Filed under: Triticum aestivum (bread wheat)
Lineage: Eukaryota; Viridiplantae; Streptophyta; Magnoliopsida; Poales; Poaceae
Description: partial small subunit ribosomal RNA
Source: RNAcentral
AUGUAAGGAUCGGCUGGCUCAUCCUCAUCAUCCGAAAAGAAAACAAAGAAAAAACAGAUUUGUUUCAAUGACAUAUCUAACUAGACUGAAAUUGAUGUCGAAGACACGAUCAUUCACAUCAAUUGAAGCAGGCAGGAAUUGCGCAUAAGGUAG